UACGUAGGGUGCAAGCGUUGUCCGGAAUUAUUGGGCGUAAAGAGCUCGUAGGCGGUCUGUCGCGUCUGCUGUGAAAACUCGGGGCUUAACCCCGGGCCUGCAGUGGGUACGGGCAGACUAGAGUGCGGUAGGGGAGACUGGAAUUCCUGGUGUAGCGGUGAAAUGCGUAGAUAUCCGGGGGAACGCCGGUGGCGAAAGCGGGUCGCCGGGCCUUACCUGACGCUGAGGCGCGAAAGCCAGGGGAGCGAACGGG
Molecule: ribosomal RNA, 253 nt
Filed under: uncultured bacterium
Lineage: Bacteria
Description: partial 16S ribosomal RNA
Rfam family: Bacterial small subunit ribosomal RNA
Source: RNAcentral